UUUUUUUUUUGCUAAAGCUGUAAAUAUCAUAUAAAUGAAAGUUUCAGUUAUACAGCAGUACAUCUGAGGCUUAAGCUACCAAGGCAAAAAAAAGUAAAAACAAGGUAGCAGAAACGAUCAAUGACGUACAUACAAAGAGCAUGAAGUCACUAUAACCAGAGGGACAUGAGUCCCCUGAAGUUCUUUCUCAGGCGUCUAGCUGAGAUGGCGUUGCGGAUCUCCUUGUCGAUGAGCUUGAACACCGAAUGGACUGAGAUAGAGAUGGUGUUAUGGAGGACACGUACGUACAGUUAUAGCAAUUGUUAUGUUACAAAAAGUAAAUAGAAAUUAACAUUCUAUAAAACUUCAAUCUUAGCAGAGAUAAAAGAGCAUGGUAUUUAGUUGUUCUUGCGUUGUAUGGAUUUGUGACGCUCUCCUUAAAUUCUUAAACGAACUCUCUAAAAACAUUGGUUUUUAAACUAGUUACCUCCCGUGCCAAGCACGGGUCAAUUAAUUUCACUAUCAUCCUAUUUUUAACUAAAAUUAUAUUUUUGUUUGCAGAAAUCAUAAAAUUGUAAAGCUUAUCAAUAUAUCAGAAUAAAUUAUUUAUUUUUUUCACAUAUUUUCUAAACCUAAAUAACACAUCGGAAUAUAAAAUUCAUUGUAUAAAGUUAUAAAUUUCAUAGAACAUGUUUAAUCUAUAAAUGUAUGUAAAUCUAUUAAAUGAAUAUUUACCUGCUUUUCAUAUCUGAAUUAUAUAUCUGCAAAAAAAAUUAUAGCUUGAUUGGAAAAGUUAAUAAACUUUAAAUAAUAUAUACAUAAAAUACUUAGUAAAUAGAAAUCAAUAGCAAGCUGAUUUUUUCUAUUUCCCUUUCAAUUUUUUUUAUCAUGUUUUACCACAAAAGAUUUUUCAAAAAGGUUGAAUUUCAUUGCCUUGCUAUAUACAAGAGUUUCAUCUAUUUAAACAGUUUGGAUAUCAUAAUUAUAAAUGAAAAUGUGUUUACCUUUUUCCAGAAGAAUAUAGCUUUUAAUAUUAAGAAUAACUUCAUGUCUCUGAUAGUAGUACUUUACGAAACAAAACCCAGAUUUUCCAUUAUGCUGUGAACAAUAAAGUUAUAAAAUAGAAGUAUAAUCUGAGAAAACCUUGAACUUGACUUAUGCAGAAGGAAUGAUAUAGAGUUAUUUUCAGAAUAAGAGAAGAAGCUGUUAGAAUAAAGAUCUUUGCUAUACUCAAAAAAAUAAAACGACAAAGAAAAUGGAACGAUAGAGAAGAAGAGGAGAGUAUAAUUACAGAAAAUUAAAUGCUGAGACUCAAAAGAACUCGUUACGUGGUAACAACGACUCCUCUGCAAAAAAAAAACUAAAAGAAUUCAAAAUUGCAUAACGAAUAAAUGCUGAGA
Molecule: long non-coding RNA, 1379 nt
Organism: Brassica rapa (field mustard)
Lineage: Eukaryota; Viridiplantae; Streptophyta; Magnoliopsida; Brassicales; Brassicaceae
Source: RefSeq, a predicted model, not a curated record